AAUGAACGCUGGCGGCGUGCUUAACACAUGCAAGUCGAACGAGAAAGCUCUUCGGAGUGAGUAAAGUGGCAGAUUGGUGAGUAACACGUGGGUAUCUGCAUUUUAGUAGGGAAUAUGUUUGAGAAAUUAAAUUUAAUACCAUAUAUUUUCCGAAAGGAAGAAAGGGGGCUUCUUUGCUCUCGCUAAAAUAUGAGCCUGCGCACUAUUAGCUAGUUGGUGAGGUAAAUGCUUACCAAGGCAAUGAUAGUUAUCCGGCCUGAGAGGGUGAUCGGACACAUUGGGACUGAGAUAUGGCCCUGACUCCUACGGGAGGCAGCAGUGGGGAAUUUUGCGCAAUGGACGAAAGUCUGACGCAGCAACGCCGCGUGGAGGAUGAAGCUCUUUGGAGUGUAAACUUCUGUUGAUCGGGAAGAAAAGUUAGUAGUUAAUACCUGCUAUAAUGACGUUACCGAUAUAGAAAGCACCGGCUAAUCUCGUG
RNAcentral lists this ribosomal RNA (478 nucleotides) under uncultured organism. RNAcentral's name for it is "bacterial SSU rRNA". It matches the Rfam family "Bacterial small subunit ribosomal RNA", at positions 29 to 507 of the family's 1533-position model. The record is from RNAcentral.